UACGGAGGGUGCGAACGUUAAUCGGAAUCACUGGGCGUAAAGCGCGCGUAGGCGGUUUGUUAAGUGGGAUGUGAAAGCCCUGGGCUUAACCUGGGAAUUGCAUUUCAAACUAGCGAACUAGAGUGCGGUAGAGGGAGGUAGAAUUUCCUGUGUAGCGGUGAAAUGCGUAGAUAUAGGAAGGAAUACCAGUGGCGAAGGCGGCCUCCUGGAUCGACACUGACGCUAAGGCGCGAAAGCGUGGGGAGCAAACAGG
Molecule: ribosomal RNA, 253 nt
Filed under: uncultured bacterium
Lineage: Bacteria
Description: partial 16S ribosomal RNA
Rfam family: Bacterial small subunit ribosomal RNA
Source: RNAcentral